Chelonoidis abingdonii (Abingdon island giant tortoise) is the source of this 1547-nucleotide long non-coding RNA. RefSeq lists it as uncharacterized. The record is from RefSeq and is a predicted model, not a curated record. NCBI's taxonomy places the organism in Eukaryota, Metazoa, Chordata, Testudines, Testudinidae.
UCAGGUUCCAGAGAUCCUUCCCUUAUUAUUUAAAACUGGAUGAGAUGAUGGUGAAAAAAUGGAACCAAGAAGCACCGUACUGUUCUUCAGUUCCGCAGUUUUGAGGAAAAACUGGAUCCUGGAAGUUUUACUGACAUUCUGAAGUACAUUCAUAUUGAAAAAGAAGUUAAAUUGUGUCCAAAGAGAAUCAUAUUUGCAGAACUGAUGCAUCAUUGCGUUCAGUCAAGCCCUAAGAAGACGAGUUGGAGGAACAUACCUGUUAGUACUGCUCCUAACUGAUUUAUCACAUAUCUGCAUUUCUUUUUGACAUUUUCACAGUUAUGUCAAGCCAUAUGUACUGGUGCUUACGCUAACUUGUAAUUACAUCUUAAGGUUGUACACAGUGAAGUCAGGGACCCCACAAAAAAAACCUACUUAACGUUCCUCUUCUCCCUCCCUUGCCUCUUCCAAGUUUGUUGUUCCCUAUCUGCCUAGGCAGGGAAUGUUCUGAAAAAUUUCAAGACAGCUGUGAUCAUUUCUCAUUGCUGACUUCAUUCAGAUUUGAAAGUUGCAGACUUUGUGGUAGAACAGGAUUGAAGAACAUUUAACCUUUUGUAAUAAGUGAAUGUCAAAAAUGUCUUCAUUGGAUUGUAUUGCACUCUUCAAUACCUUUUAUCAUGUUAAAAAUAGUCAAAAUACCAUUUGGAAUUUCAGCAUUGUUGGGCUUUGAGGAGAUGUAGCAGCACAUCAUGGUUUGUAGGGACAAGGAGAUACAGACCAUUCUGGGCUGCCUCAUUACCUCAAGGAUAGACAAGAAAGGGAGCUUCUGGGUGUCAGCUGUGGAAGCUGCCACAUUCUCAUAUAUCUCUUAGAUCAGUUGAACAGGUAUGUUUAGAUACGUUUUUGUAGUGCUUUUAAUAUGUAUGCUUUCUUUCCAGCCUGCAAAGAUAGAGUAUUGGUUUUAUGUCUUUGGUGAAUUUGCCUAAAACGGCCCAGGGAUUUGCAGUAUUCUAACCUGUUGACCUGAUCACAGGCCAUGUGAUUGUUCAAUAUUUUAUCACCUUCCAAUAUCAGCAAUAGCUUCAUCUUAAUACACUAAGUCAUCUUUAAUGUUGUCUUCAUAGUUGGCUUAUACCAGUUGCACGUUGCUUGAAGUAAUUCUGCUUCCUGUUUUGUUCAACAUUCUUUCCUCUGUUUAAGACCAAUAACAAAUUAUAGGUAGUAUGACAACCAGCAGGGAUUGUAAAAGGGUUCUGGAAGUGACGGAGACCUCUUUACAAUGGAAGCAUGUCAGCAGUGCUCUAGCAGCACGUAAAUACUGGAGUUUAGGAUUGCCUAGCUGCUCUCCAGUAUUGCAUUGCUGCUUCAGUGAGGCUGGAUGGGUCGUGCCCACAGCAGGAACCAGUGCUGUCACUACCAGCCUGUGGUGCCUACGGCAACAAAACAAUGUUAUCGCACUGUUAAAUUCGGGGAGAUGCUGCAUGAUCAGAUUUUUAAGAGGGGUAUUAAGAGGUUUCCUAGUCUGUAGAUCUGACAUAAGAACAUAUUAAUAUAAAAGUGGGAAAAAC